GGGGCUGUAGCUCAGUGGUACAGCACUUGCCUAGCAUGUGAGAGGCCCUGGGUUCAGUCCCCUAGCCCUG
This 70-nucleotide transfer RNA is filed under the name Heterocephalus glaber (naked mole-rat). It matches the Rfam family "tRNA". Rfam says of the family: Transfer RNA (tRNA) molecules are approximately 80 nucleotides in length. Lineage: Eukaryota; Metazoa; Chordata; Mammalia; Rodentia; Bathyergidae. The record is from Rfam by way of RNAcentral.